GCUGCAGCAGCCCAGGGAGACGGCGUUCUGAAGCUGUGCCUUGGAGUGGCUCUUCUUACACCUUUCCGCCUCAUCCCCACCUAAUUCGGGCAGAGUAGAAAAUUUUCCAAAUUAAGGGGAGAAAAGGGGGAGGGGCAUUAUCGAGAGAAAGCAAGAGGAGCGGCCGCAAGUGAGAAUAUCCUGCCUGAUGCCAGGGAAUUGACUGACGUGUCUGUGGGGUUACGGACGAAAACUGAAUAGGCAGCCAAGUUGGCCGAGGAGGGGCUGGGAGGCUUCCGGGUGCCGGGAAGGUGGACCCGGUCUCCAUUUCCACCGGUACGAAGGCUUGGAGGCGCCUCUAUGGUGAGGGCUUUUGAACCGCCAUCCACUCCUGAUCCCUUGGAAAGGAGCCUUCAGAGCUGAGGAGGGAGAAGUCCAGGAAAAGCCCCUGGACUUGUGUGCGUCGCAUCCUUGGCUUGGGAUUUUAAGGACACGAAGGAGAAUUAACAGCGCCUCAAGGAAAUCCACUGGAGAUGGUUUCAAGAUAUAGCAUCCUUAUAUGUGAGGUAUCCCAAAUGAAGUUGGAGCAUCCAUGUUGAAAUCGCUUCAUGUUGUGGAAUUGAUGAGUGCCAUCAGAAAGCUGUAUCAUGAGCUGCCUGCACUUCUAAAGUGUCCAGUGGAUUUUUAAUCACAUGAGCCUGGAAAUAGGGUUAUGAGAAGAAGCUCAGAGCAGAGCACCGAAAGUGGCCACUACCAGCAUGAAGAGCCCAACAAUUCAAGCUGGUGAAGUGAGAAAAACAGAAUGCAGCUUUCAAGGUUUGUUUCAAGCAGUUGGCUUG
Pongo pygmaeus (Bornean orangutan) is the source of this 818-nucleotide RNA transcript. RefSeq lists it as uncharacterized. The transcript has 6 exons. The record is from RefSeq and is a predicted model, not a curated record. NCBI's taxonomy places the organism in Eukaryota, Metazoa, Chordata, Mammalia, Primates, Hominidae.